RNAcentral lists this ribosomal RNA (1382 nucleotides) under metagenome. RNAcentral's name for it is "bacterial SSU rRNA". It matches the Rfam family "Bacterial small subunit ribosomal RNA", at positions 141 to 1498 of the family's 1533-position model. The record is from RNAcentral.
CGAUAACAUUGCGAAAGCGAUGCUAAUACCGGAUAAUAUCCCUUAAACUUCGGUUAAAGAGAUCAAAGGUGGCCUCUCCUUGGAAGCUACUGUUUGGGGAUGAGCCCGCGUACCAUUAGCUUGUUGGUAGGGUAAAAGCCUACCAAGGCAACGAUGGUUAGCUGGUCUGAGAGGAUGAUCAGCCACACUGGAACUGACACACGGUCCAGACUCCUACGGGAGGCAGCAGUGAGGAAUUUUGCGCAAUAGGGGAAACCCUGACGCAGCAACGCCGCGUGAGUGAUGAAGGCUUUCGGGUCGUAAAGCUCUGUCAAGUGGGAAGAACCUGUACGAUGCUAAUAUCAGCAUACACUGACGGUACCACUGAAGGAAGCACCGGCUAACUCCGUGCCAGCAGCCGCGGUAAUACGGGGGUGCAAGCGUUAUUCGGAAUUACUGGGCGUAAAGAGCGCGUAGGCGGUCUCUUAAGUCAGGUGUGAAAGCCCGGGGCUCAACCCCGGAAGUGCAUUUGAAACUAAGAGACUUGAGUAUGGGAGAGGGAAGUGGAAUUCCUGGUGUAGCGGUGAAAUGCGUAGAUAUCAGGAGGAACACCGGUGGCGAAGGCGACUUCCUGGACCAAUACUGACGCUGAGGCGCGAAGGCGUGGGGAGCAAACAGGAUUAGAUACCCUGGUAGUCCACGCAGUAAACGGUGAACACUAGGUGUAGCGGGUAUUGACCCCUGCUGUGCCGUAGCUAACGCAUUAAGUGUUCCGCCUGGGGAGUACGACCGCAAGGUUAAAACUCAAAGGAAUUGACGGGGGCCCGCACAAGCGGUGGAGCAUGUGGUUUAAUUCGACGCAACGCGAAGAACCUUACCUGGGUUUGACAUCCCGGGAAUCCCUUGGAAACUUGGGAGUGCCCUUCGGGGAGCCUGGAGACAGGUGCUGCAUGGCUGUCGUCAGCUCGUGUCUGAGAUGUUGGGUUAAGUCCCGCAACGAGCGCAACCCCCUUCUUUAGUUACCAUCAUUCAGUUGGGGACUCUAAAGAUACUGCCCCGGUUAACGGGGAGGAAGGUGGGGAUGACGUCAAGUCCUCAUGGCCCUUAUGCCCAGGGCUACACACGUGCUACAAUGGGCUGUACAAAGGGUCGCGACAUUGCGAAAUGGAGCUAAUCCCGAAAAGCAGUUCGUAGUUCGGAUUGGAGUCUGCAACUCGACUCCAUGAAGCUGGAAUCGCUAGUAAUCGUGGAUCAGCACGCCACGGUGAAUACGUUCCCGGGCCUUGUACACACCGCCCGUCACACCAUGAGAGUUGGUUGUACCAGAAGUCGUUGGACCAACCCAUUAGGGAGGUAGGCGCCUAAGGUAUGACUGAUGAUUGGGGUGAAGUCGUAACAAGGUA